This 1043-nucleotide ribosomal RNA is filed under the name uncultured Bacillota bacterium. RNAcentral's name for it is "bacterial SSU rRNA". It matches the Rfam family "Bacterial small subunit ribosomal RNA", at positions 336 to 1397 of the family's 1533-position model. Lineage: Bacteria; Bacillati; Bacillota. The record is from RNAcentral.
CUCCUACGGGACUUCUGAGUCGGGAAUAUUGCGCAAUGGAGGGAACUCUGACGCAUUGACGCCGCGUAUAGGAAGAAGGUUUUCGGAUUGUAAACUAUUGUAGACAGGGAAGAAAAAAGACAGUACCUGAAAAGUAAGCUCCGGCUAACUACGUGCCAGCAGCCGCGGUAAUACGUAGGGAGCGAGCGUUAUCCGGAAUUAUUGGGUGUAAAGGGUGCGUAGACGGGUAAAUAAGUUAGUUGUGAAAUCCCUCGGCUCAACUGAGGAACUGCAACUAAAACUGUAUAUCUUGAGUGCAGGAGAGGAAAGCGGAAUUCCUAGUGUAGCGGUGAAAUGCGUAGAUAUUAGGAGGAACACCAGUGGCGAAGGCGGCUUUCUGGACUGUAACUGACGUUGAAGCACGAAAGUAUGGGGAGCAAACAGGAUUAGAUACCCUGGUAGUCCACACUGUAAACGAUGGAUACUAGGUGUAGGUAAUGUUAAGUUAUCUGUGCCGUCGCAAACGCAAUAAGUAUCCCACCUGGGGAGUACGGCCGCAAGGUUGAAACUCAAAGGAAUUGACGGGGGCCCGCACAAGCAGUGGAGUAUGUGGUUUAAUUCGACGCAACGCGAAGAACCUUACCAGGGCUUGACAUACAAAUGAAUACUUAAGAAAUUAAGUAGCUCUUCGGAGCAUUUGAACAGGUGGUGCAUGGUUGUCGUCAGCUCGUGUCGUGAGAUGUUGGGUUAAGUCCCGCAACGAGCGCAACCCUUGUGAUUAGUUGCCAGCAUGUAAAGAUGGGAACUCUAAUCAGACUGCCGUUGAUAAAACGGAGGAAGGUGGGGACGACGUCAAAUCAUCAUGCCCUAUAUGUCCUGGGCUACACACGUACUACAAUGGCUAUAACAAAGAGAAGCAAAAUAGAAAUAUGGAGCGAAACUUAUAAAAGUAGUCUCAGUUCGGAUUGAAGGCUGAAAUUCGCCUACAUGAAGCUGGAAUUGCUAGUAAUGGCAGGUCAGCAUACUGCCGUGAAUACGUUCCCGGGCCUGUACACACCGCCCGU